This 270-nucleotide ribosomal RNA is filed under the name uncultured prokaryote. RNAcentral describes it as "partial 16S ribosomal RNA". It matches the Rfam family "Archaeal small subunit ribosomal RNA", at positions 474 to 743 of the family's 1478-position model. The record is from RNAcentral.
UACUAGCGGUCCAAGUCGCAGCCAUUUUUAUUGGGUCUAAAACAUCCGUAGCUUGCUUGAUAAGUUUCUCGUGAAAUCUUAAGUCUCAAACUUAGGAAGUGCGAGAAAUACUGUCGAGCUAGAGACUGGAAGACGUAAGAAGUACGUUCGAAGUAGCGGUUAAAUGUGUUAAUCUCGAGCGGACUCACAAUAGCGAAGGCAUCUUACGAGGACAGUUCUGACAGUAAGGGAUGAAGGCUAGGGUCGCAAAACGGAUUAGAUACCCCCGUA